UAUAUUAACGCUGUUGCUGUUAAAGGGUUCGUAGUUGAAUUGAGGGUUGCUCAAGAUUGGCGGGUUGUCCUCCGGGGCCCCGCCGCUUGCAACUCGCGAACAUUCGAAACAAGUAGCACGGGAGCGAAUUUCCCUCCGAACACCGCGUGCAACGCACGCAGGAGGGCGCCCGUGAUCUUUACUGUGAUUAAAAAAGCGUGACCAAAGCAGUCAUCCGACAUGAAUUUCCAAGCAUGGGAUAACAUCUGUACCUUCGGGACUUCCGUUGGCUUUUGUUGGUUUUAAGGGUCUUAAGGAGAUUAAGGCGCCGCGCGACACGCCAAAGAGUUUUACAUUCCUAGGUGAUCCGGGCAACCGGUUCGCGGCGCUCAGAAUGAAGGAGGGUUGUCGGGGACGAACGUACUCGCGCGUGAGAGGUGAAAUUCAUAGACCGCGCGAAGACGAACAACAGCGAAGGCAUUCGUCAAGGAUACCUUCCUCAAUCAAGAACCAAAGUGUGGGGAUCGAAGAUGAUUAGAGACCAUUGUAGUCCACGCCACAAACGAU
RNAcentral lists this ribosomal RNA (546 nucleotides) under uncultured marine picoplankton. RNAcentral describes it as "bacterial SSU rRNA". It matches the Rfam family "Eukaryotic small subunit ribosomal RNA", at positions 600 to 1040 of the family's 1831-position model. The record is from RNAcentral.